GCGGUUUUAGCUCAGUGGUUCUUAGACACAUAGAGCGUCUGCUUUACACGCAGAAGGUCAAGAGUUCAAUCCUCUUAAGCCGUA
Molecule: transfer RNA, 84 nt
Filed under: Cryptomonas curvata
Lineage: Eukaryota; Cryptophyceae; Cryptomonadales; Cryptomonadaceae
Description: tRNA-Val
Rfam family: tRNA
About the family: Transfer RNA (tRNA) molecules are approximately 80 nucleotides in length.
Source: RNAcentral